GAUGAACGCUGGCGGCGUGCCUAAUACAUGCAAGUCGAGCGAAUGGAUUAAGAGCUUGCUCUUAUGAAGUUAGCGGCGGACGGGUGAGUAACACGUGGGUAACCUGCCCAUAAGACUGGGAUAACUCCGGGAAACCGGGGCUAAUACCGGAUAAUAUUUUGAACUGCAUGGUUCAAAAUUGAAAGGCGGCUUCGGCUGUCACUUAUGGAUGGACCCGCGUCGCAUUAGCUAGUUGGUGAGGUAACGGCUCACCAAGGCAACGAUGCGUAGCCGACGUGAGAGGGGGAUCGGCCCAACUGGGACUGAGACACGGCCCAGACUCCUACAGGGGGCAGCAGUAGGGAAUCUUCCGCAAUGGACGAAAGUCUGACGGAGCAACGCCGCGUGAGUGAUGAAGGCUUUCGGGUCGUAAAACUCUGUUGUUAGGGAAGAACAAGUGCUAGUUGAAUAAGCUGGCACCUUGACGGUACCUAACCAGAAAGCCACGGCUAACUACGUGCCAGCAGCAGCCGCGG
This 515-nucleotide ribosomal RNA is filed under the name uncultured bacterium. RNAcentral describes it as "partial 16S ribosomal RNA". It matches the Rfam family "Bacterial small subunit ribosomal RNA", at positions 28 to 523 of the family's 1533-position model. The record is from RNAcentral.